Scylla paramamosain (green mud crab) is the source of this 409-nucleotide long non-coding RNA. RefSeq lists it as uncharacterized. The transcript is spliced from 2 exons. The record is from RefSeq and is a predicted model, not a curated record. NCBI's taxonomy places the organism in Eukaryota, Metazoa, Arthropoda, Malacostraca, Decapoda, Portunidae.
GGUUUUCUUAAGUAACAUGAGCUGUAAUCAUUGCUUUCUUGAAAUUUGUAUUUCUUUCCAAUUACAGGAUAACAUCCAUGAGCGAAGCUGGCCUCUAUAAUUACUGGGACAGGGAUCUAAUGCCCAACUCGAGCGCGUGUGAGCGAGUGCCAACUAAGAUUACCAUCAGCUCCUCCCUUUCACUCAGGCAGUGUUGGGCAAUGCUGGUGGUGCUCGCUGGAGGCCUGGUGGUGGGCGUUACCAUUUUAUGCGUGGAGGUGGUCGUCGCCGAAGUCUUGCGUCGCUAAAAGAUAAUUUUACCGUUUGUGUAUCUUUUCUCCCACAUAUAUACAAGUAGAAAUAAACCUGUUUAUGUAAAAUACUAUAUGUAAAAUGAAUACAAUAUUUAUCAUAAAAUUCAAAAUAAAAA